This is a long non-coding RNA of Myotis davidii, 1839 nucleotides long. RefSeq lists it as uncharacterized. The record is from RefSeq and is a predicted model, not a curated record. The transcript is spliced from 3 exons. Lineage: Eukaryota; Metazoa; Chordata; Mammalia; Chiroptera; Vespertilionidae.
UCACAUCAAUGUUUCUCUCCUCUCCUCUCUCUAAACAUAUCCUUGGGUGAAGAUUAAAAAAAUUUUUUUUCAUUGAGGCACAGUAAGCAAAUUAUAGUUAGACAAGAUUGGAGGGCAUACACAGUUACGAGGGGAUUAUCCUUAUGCAUUAUGUCUUUACUUAUAUUUAACUCUGUUUUAUAAGUAUUUAAUUCUAGAGUAGAGUGCCCCUGCACAAUGUGCUGCAGCUACAGUUCAGGUCAUUUGAGGGACAACAGGAGAAUUCUGCCCCUCAGAUAUCAGGAAAUAUACACCAAAGACAUUCUGAAACCCUGAACCUUUUCCCAUAAAAAAGAGGUUUGUUUGUAAAAUGGGGACUCUAUCCAUAAUAAAUGAACAAUAGGUACUGCCAGUUUAGGCCUAUUCAUGAAUUUGGAUCUACAAAGAGGAAAUUUUUGUUGACAAGGUUAUAUGUAUACAAAUAAUCUUUCUUAUUUAAUUGGUAGAAAUCCUGUGUUUUCUGCAAGGAACUUAAUACUCAUUAAAUAAAACUGUAAAAAUUAUUCUUUCUAUCUGUCCAUUUCUUCUCUUUAUCAUUAAAAGCCUCAUUAAAGGGAUUAUUCUUAUGGUGAUAACACCAGGGACAAGAUGGUUAUGACUCGUAUAUUUGCCAUAGGUUGCAAAAGAAUUUUCAGAAUUGGAGGUUCUUUCAUACCUACAUAGUAUUCUGUUGCACAGAUAUAGAUGAAAUAUUUCAAAAGUUGACCUUAGGUUGCGUUCCCCUUUCACUAUACAAACAAUGCCACAGCAAAUAACCUUGUACAUUCUCUAUUUUACACAUGUGCAUGACUAUAAAUAAUGUAUAGAGGGGACUUGCUGGGUAUGUGCAUUCUAAAUUUUAAUAUAUUACUGUUUUCCUCUGAAGAGAUUUGGUCACUCAUUCAUUCAUUCAGUUAUUCAGUAAACACUGUUGGAGUAUUUACUCUAUGGAAGCUCCCCCAGGACAUUUCAAAAGGGACAGCUUUAAAGGAGAGGGAAGAACAAGAGAGAAGACUGACAGACCAGUUAUGCCAGGGACAGGACCAGGUUUAUGAUUUCAGUUUUCUUAAUGAACAAGGUGGAGCCACCUGAUUAGUGAGGCUGGAGAAGAUCUAGGGGCUGAGCAAUGAAAAGCACUAGAAGGGGUGGCACCAGAAGGCAGGUCUGACAAGUUGUGACUGGUGGGCAAUUAAAGCAAUAGGGUCAGAGAAGGGAAAUGCUGAGUUAAGAGAUCUCAGAAGUUUAGCAAGUCCUGGUGGUGAUAACAUCGAGCAUCUGAACUUUCCAGACCAAGACUGAUGGAGAAGACAAUCCAUAAAACCAAGAAGUUAGGAGUCGAGAUUAAGGAGCCUGGAGGAGCAAUAGCUCAGAUAUUGAAAGAUCCUGGGAACACUGAUGGGGGCAAAGAGAAGAAAAUCAGCCAGAUCCUAAAGUCAUUUGGGAAUUUUCCUAGUUUCUUACUAUCCUGCCACAGAAUCCUAUUGCCAGUGACCCCUGACAACAGGACCAUAUAUUGAAAUCACCUGAGGAAACAGACUCACCCUGAAACACAUAUGUCUUCAAUGAGGUGGUGAACCAAAGAAACAGAAGCACAGAGGACACACGGGUAAUAAAUGGAAGAGCUGAGAUUUGAACUGAGGUCACCUGGCUCCAGAAUUUGUGCACUAAACCUCCUCACUAUUAUGGAUUAUGUCUCUCAGUGAACUAUGUUGGUCCAUUGGAUAUUAACUGUAAAUGUAAUAUGGUCCCAAUUAAAAAAAAAACUAUAUGGGGGGGGGGAGUGGAAUUUAGGUCUCUAACGCUAUCUCUUUAAAACAUUGA